This 328-nucleotide ribosomal RNA is filed under the name uncultured Lachnospiraceae bacterium. RNAcentral describes it as "bacterial SSU rRNA". It matches the Rfam family "Bacterial small subunit ribosomal RNA", at positions 28 to 339 of the family's 1533-position model. Lineage: Bacteria; Bacillati; Bacillota; Clostridia; Lachnospirales; Lachnospiraceae. The record is from RNAcentral.
GAUGAACGCUGGCGGCGUGCCUAACACAUGCAAGUCGAACGGAGUUAUGUGGAAAGAUUCUUCGGAUGAUGGAAACAUAACUUAGUGGCGGACGGGUGAGUAACGCGUGGGCAACCUGCCUCAUUCAGGGGGAUACCAGUUGGAAACGACUGUUAAUACCGCAUAAGCGCACGGUUCCGCAUGGAACAGUGUGAAAAGCUCCGGCAGAAUGAGAUGGGCCCGCGUCUGAUUAGCUGGUUGGUGAGGUAACGGCCCACCAAGGCGACGAUCAGUAGCCGACCUGAGAGGGUGACCGGCCACAUUGGGACUGAGACACGGCCCAAACUCC